This 332-nucleotide ribosomal RNA is filed under the name uncultured bacterium. RNAcentral's name for it is "bacterial SSU rRNA". It matches the Rfam family "Bacterial small subunit ribosomal RNA", at positions 28 to 334 of the family's 1533-position model. The record is from RNAcentral.
GAUGAACGCUGGCGGCGUGCCUAACACAUGCAAGUCGAACGGACUUACACAGAAGCAGGAGAUGCUUGCAUUGACUAACGGAAGUGUAAGUUAGUGGCGGACGGGUGAGUAACGCGUGGGCAACCUGCCCCAUACCGGGGGAUAACACCUGGAAACAGGUGCUAAAACCGCAUAAGCGCACAGCUUCGCAUGAAGGUGUGUGAAAAACUCCGGUGGUAUGGGAUGGGCCCGCGUCUGAUUAGCUGGUUGGCGGGGUAACGGCCCACCAAGGCGACGAUCAGUAGCCGGCCUGAGAGGGUGGACGGCCACAUUGGGACUGAGACACGGCCCAA